GUCCCAUAAUACUGGGAUUUUAACCCAUGGUUAGAAUGCGCAAGCAUUGUACACUCGUAUUGCGGUGACAAACUAAAACAAGUAAAUUUCACCAAACCAUAGGUUUUGAGACAGUCUUCUCAACCAGACACCGUUUUUGCUAAUUUGUUCGCAGAACAACAGGUUUCGUGUCCAAUUCUCUCACAUCACCCGCAAUAAAGAUUCAAGCGAUUUUGACAGUAUUACUUAGCCUUGAGUCCCGCCUUUCAGGCACCAAGUCUUUUUCAUUGUGCCCCUUGCAUUUUUCUUUUUCUUUUUCACCCCUCGUCUUUUUCUACGAUGUCGGCAGAGAGCACACCAGCGGCCGGGAGCAAGCCACUGUCCGCAGUACUCGUCGUUGGCGCCGGGUUCGGGCACCGGGAGCAAGGAAGAGCGCAACUUGGGGCGGGCAGUGUCCAUCUCCAAGGUCUUGGGGCUACGGUCGUACCCCUAGGAGGACGACUCCAUGCUCGCGGAUAGGCGGCGGCUUUUGUAGGAGGGCACCACGCCGUCGUGCUAGCUCCGUGUGUCCUUUUGCUGCACAACACAACACAAGAAAUUAACCGCACAUCACAUAUUGGUUCCUUGUUACUCCCAAGUUCCAACCUCGGACG
RNAcentral lists this long non-coding RNA (632 nucleotides) under Brachypodium distachyon (stiff brome). RNAcentral describes it as "long non-coding RNA (BDIS_LNC004762)". Lineage: Eukaryota; Viridiplantae; Streptophyta; Magnoliopsida; Poales; Poaceae. The record is from RNAcentral.